Molecule: ribosomal RNA, 500 nt
Filed under: uncultured bacterium
Lineage: Bacteria
Description: partial 16S ribosomal RNA
Rfam family: Bacterial small subunit ribosomal RNA
Source: RNAcentral
GACGAACGCUGGCGGAAUGCUUUACACAUGCAAGUCGAACGGCAGCACGGACUUCGGUCUGGUGGCGAGUGGCGAACGGGUGAGUAAUGUAUCGGAACGUGCCCAGUCGUGGGGGAUAACGUAGUGAAAAUUACGCUAAUACCGCAUACGAUCUAUGGAUGAAAGCGGGGGAUCGCAAGACCUCGCGCGAUUGGAGCGGCCGAUAUCAGAUUAGGUAGUUGGUGGGGUAAAGGCCCACCAAGCCAACGAUCUGUAGCUGGUCUGAGAGGACGACCAGCCACACUGGAACUGAGACACGGUCCAGACUCCUACGGGAGGCAGCAGUGGGGAAUUUUGGACAAUGGGCGAAAGCCUGAUUCAGCCAUUCCGCGUGCAGGAUGAAGGCCCUCGGGUUGUAAACUGCUUUUGUACAGAACGAAAAGGUUUCUACUAAUACUAGGAGCUCAUGACGGUACUGUAAGAAUAAGCACCGGCUAACUACGUGCCAGCCGCCGCGGUAA